This 243-nucleotide ribosomal RNA is filed under the name uncultured bacterium. RNAcentral's name for it is "partial 16S ribosomal RNA". It matches the Rfam family "Bacterial small subunit ribosomal RNA", at positions 32 to 254 of the family's 1533-position model. The record is from RNAcentral.
AAUCAACGCUGGCGGCGUGCCUAACACAUGCAAGUCGAGCGGGAAAGGGGCUUCGGUCCCUGAGUAUAGCGGCGGACGGGUGAGUAACACGUGGGUAAUUUGCCCUUGGGUGUGGAAUAACUCAGGGAAACUUGAGCUAAUACCGCAUGACAUCCCCUUCACACACGAGUUGGGGAUCAAAGCCGGGGACCCUUCGGGGCCUGGCGCCUGAGGAGAAGCCCGCGCCCGAUUAGCUAGUUGGGA